GUAUUUAGGUUCGACCGUUUCUGGUCAUGACAUUCUACAAUACUUGUUAACGUUUGUGUGUGAAGGGGGGUUCGAAGCGUGGUCCCGGCUCGACCACCGGCGGUAAGGCCGGAGGGAGCUGCUCCCAUGACGGGGGACCGACGCCUCUCAUAAUGCACAGGGGUUGUGAGUGGAUGAGGGGACGAGCACGUGCCGCGGACGGCCAGCAUCAAUCCCCAAGUGAACUCGUUAAUGAUCCUUCCGCAGGUUCACCUACGGAAA
RNAcentral lists this unclassified non-coding RNA (261 nucleotides) under uncultured fungus. RNAcentral's name for it is "sequence contains ITS1". Lineage: Eukaryota; Fungi. The record is from RNAcentral.